AACCUCCGCAAUGUGAGAAAUCGCGACGGGGGGAUCCCAAGUGCCAUUCUUAACGGGAUGGCUUUUCAUUAGUGUAAAGAGCUUUUGGAAUAAGAGCUGGGCAAGACCGGUGCCAGCCGCCGCGGUAACACCGGCAGCUCUAGUGGUAACAAUUUUUAUUGGGCCUAAAGCGUCCGUAGCCGGUUUAAUAAGUCUCUGGUGAAAUCCUGUAGCUUAACUGUGGGAAUUGCUGGAGAUACUAUUAGACUUGAGACCGGGAGAGGUUAGAGGUACUCCCAGGGUAGAGGUGAAAUUCUGUAAUCCUGGGAGGACCGCCUGUUGCGAAGGCGUCUAACUGGAACGGUUCUGACGGUGAGGGACGAAAGUUAGGGCGCGAACCGGAUUAGAUACCCGGGUAGUCCUAACUGUAAACGAUGCGGACUUGGUGUUGGGGUGGCUUUGAGCUGCUCCAGUGCCGAAGGGAAGCUGUUAAGUCCGCCGCCUGGGAAGUACGGUCGCAAGACUGAAACUUAAAGGAAGU
RNAcentral lists this ribosomal RNA (520 nucleotides) under uncultured bacterium. RNAcentral's name for it is "bacterial SSU rRNA". It matches the Rfam family "Archaeal small subunit ribosomal RNA", at positions 345 to 866 of the family's 1478-position model. The record is from RNAcentral.